Perca flavescens (yellow perch) is the source of this 251-nucleotide long non-coding RNA. RefSeq lists it as uncharacterized. Lineage: Eukaryota; Metazoa; Chordata; Actinopteri; Perciformes; Percidae. The transcript is spliced from 3 exons. The record is from RefSeq and is a predicted model, not a curated record.
GAGGAAGAGGAGGAGGAGGAGGAAGAGGCGCAGCUAACGCUGGUGCUGCCUCCGCCCAAGACAGACAGACAGGACUCUGCUGAGCUGUCUGUCCAGCAGAGGGUCUUCAACAUCGCCAACGAGCUGCUGCACACAGAGAUCGCCUACGUCUCUAAGCUCCACCUGCUGGACCAGGUUUUCUGUGCCCGGCUCCUGGAGGAGGCGCGCUCUCGCUCCUCCUUCCCGUGCGACGUGGUCCAGGGAAUCUUCUC